AUCCUCAAGAUUUUCCUUUUUCCUCAGAUCUACAUAUUGGUCUGAGUGGCUAGAAAAGAAGGCAACGUAAAACUGAAGUGGACUUGGAAUCUUUAGGGACAUACAAGUUCAUUUCACACACAC
Molecule: small nucleolar RNA, 123 nt
Filed under: Echinops telfairi (small Madagascar hedgehog)
Lineage: Eukaryota; Metazoa; Chordata; Mammalia; Afrosoricida; Tenrecidae
Description: Small nucleolar RNA SNORA61 (ENSETEG00000026425.1)
Source: RNAcentral